GUCGAACGCCCGUAGCAAUACGGGAGUGGCAGACGGGUGAGUAACGCGUGGGAACAUACCCUCCGGUUCGGAAUAACUCAGGGAAACUUGAGCUAAUACCGGAUACGGCUUAGCGGCGAAAGAUUUAUCGCCGGAGGAUUGGCCCGCGUUCGAUUAGCUUGUUGGUGAGGUAACGGCUCACCAAGGCGACAAUCGAUAGCUGGUCUGAGAGGAUGAUCAGCCACAUUGGGACUGAGACACGGCCCAAACUCCUACGGGAGGCAGCAGUGGGGAAUAUUGGACAAUGGGCGCAAGCCUGAUCCAGCCAUGCCGCGUGAGUGAUGACGGCCUUAGGGUUGUAAAGCUCUUUCGCUCGGGACGAUAAUGACGGUACCGAGAUAAGAAGCCCCGGCUAACUUCGUGCCAGCAGCCGCGGUAAUACGAAGGGGGCUAGCGUUGUUCGGAAUUACUGGGCGUAAAGCGCGUGUAGGCGGGUCUUUAAGUCAGGGGUGAAAUGCCAAGGCUCAACCUUGGAACUGCCUUUGAUACUGAAGAUCUUGAGUCCGGGAGAGGUGAGUGGAAUUGCGAGUGUAGAGGUGAAAUUCGUAGAUAUUCGCAGGAACACCAGUGGCGAAGGCGGCUCACUGGCCCGGAACUGACGCUGAGACGCGAAAGCGUG
Molecule: ribosomal RNA, 658 nt
Filed under: uncultured Alphaproteobacteria bacterium
Lineage: Bacteria; Pseudomonadati; Pseudomonadota; Alphaproteobacteria
Description: bacterial SSU rRNA
Rfam family: Bacterial small subunit ribosomal RNA
Source: RNAcentral